GGAACGCUGACCAAUCCAAAAGCGCGUCUGCGGAACGGCGCAUGCGCAGUGUGCGUUCUCCCUGCUCCUCUGGUUUCUCCUUCAGUGUGUCCUCUCACCACCGUCCAGAAGGGAAGCGCGAAGUAGGAGCGGUACAACGGAAUAUACGCUGGCAUGGCAGUCCCCCCUGCAUACUCUGACCUCGGGAAAGCCGCCAAAGAUAUAUUUAGCAAAGGCUAUGGCUUUGGAACAGUUAAACUGGACCUCAAGACCAAGUCCCAGAGUGGAGUUGAGUUCUCAACUGGUGGAUACAGUAGUACAGAUACAGGAAAAAGUUCUGGUAAUCUGGAGACUAAGUACAAAGUGAAGGAGCUAGGCCUGACCUUCAACCAGAAAUGGAACACUGACAACACACUGACCACCGAGGUCACCUUGGAAGAUCAGCUGGCUAAGGGACUGAAGUUGGCUUUGGACACCUCCUUUGUGCCCAACACUGGGAAAAAGAGUGCUAAACUGAAGACAGGAUAUAAGCAUGACUUUGUAAAUGUGGGCUGCGAUAUUGAUUUUGACCUUGCUGGGCCCACAAUUCAUGCAGCAGCAGUGGUUGGCUAUGAGGGCUGGCUAGCUGGCUAUCAGAUGGCUUUCGACACUGCCAAGUCCAAACUGGCUCAGAAUAACUUUGCUCUGGGAUACAAAGCUGGUGACUUUCAGCUGCACACCAAUGUUAAUGAUGGUACUGAGUUUGGUGGCUCCAUCUAUCAGAAAGUGAAUGACCAAUUGGAGACGGCAGUAAAUCUGGCCUGGACAGCAGGCAGCAACAACACCCGCUUUGGCAUUGCUGCUAAAUAUCAACUGGACAAGGAUGUGUCUAUCUCUGUGAAAGUAAACAAUGCCAGUCUGGUUGGAGCUGGAUACACACAGACUCUGCGGCCAGGUGUGAAGCUCACUCUCUCAGCCCUGAUUGAUGCAAAGAACUUAAAUGCUGGUGGACACAAGGUGGGCCUGGGCUUUGAGCUGGAGGUAUAACGAUAAAGAGAGGAACAAGAAGACAAGGGGCAUAGAUUGAAACUAACAGCUGACAACAUGACUGCCAGUGCCACAGAGUAAAGGUCCUAGGAGCAAUUUUAAAACUACUUUUUUUUCACUGCACUGGGUUGUAAAUCCUUCUGUUUCCCUUUUGAAUAGAAUUUCAAUUUUCUGCAAAUUCAAACUGUGAUUAGUACUCCAAAUUUUACUGGAUCAGUCUCAAAAUGUGAUUUGCUGGUAAAAACUCUUACUGCUGGAAAAGGGAUCAAGUAAGUUGUGAAUAUCAUCUCCUCAUUGUGUUGUGUGGAAAGUCAACUUAUGGAGAUGACAACAGAUGCCUCUGUCCUUUUUCACUCACAUUUAUAUAAAUUACUUUGAUUUAAUUGCCAUCAGACAGAUAACUCUGUAAUAUCUGUAUUUUUGUAGGAAUUACAGACAAAGGAUUCAUUUGCUGUCUUUACCUUUUCUCACAGUUGCUUUACUCUGACUGUGCUGUGGUGAAUGACUAGACUAAAAAAUUAAUAAAAUUGGAGAUUCCAAUAAAAAGGUGUGUUGGUUCAAA
Molecule: RNA transcript, 1567 nt
Organism: Pangasianodon hypophthalmus (striped catfish)
Lineage: Eukaryota; Metazoa; Chordata; Actinopteri; Siluriformes; Pangasiidae
Gene: vdac3
Gene name: voltage-dependent anion channel 3
Exons: 10
Source: RefSeq, a predicted model, not a curated record